CCUACGGGAGGCAGCAGUAAGGAAUAUUGGUCAAUGGAGGCAACUCUGAACCAGCCAUGCCGCGUGCAGGAAGAAGGCGCUACGCGUUGUAAACUGCUUUUGUACGGGAGAAAACCCAUCUAUGUAUAGAUGGCUGAUAGUACCGUAAGAAUAAGCAUCGGCUAACUUCGUGCCAGCAGCCGCGGUAAGACGAAGGAUGCAAGCGUUAUCCGGAUUUAUUGGGUUUAAAGGGUGCGUAGGCGGUCUUAUAAGUCAGUGGUGAAAGCUCUCAGCUUAACUGAGAAACUGCCAUUGAUACUGCAAGACUUGAGUACAGAUGAUGUUGGCGGAAUAUGACAUGUAGCGGUGAAAUGCAUAGAUAUGUCAUAGAACACCGAUUGCGAAGGCAGCUGACAAAACUGUAAACUGACGCUGAGCGACGAAGUAGCGGGAGUACAACAGAGUAGUAUACCUACGUAGUCGCACCGUAACCUAAUAGUAUACUCGUCUGUGUGNGAGUAUAC
RNAcentral lists this ribosomal RNA (503 nucleotides) under uncultured bacterium. Its description in RNAcentral is "bacterial SSU rRNA". It matches the Rfam family "Bacterial small subunit ribosomal RNA", at positions 338 to 836 of the family's 1533-position model. The record is from RNAcentral.